RNAcentral lists this ribosomal RNA (440 nucleotides) under uncultured bacterium. Its description in RNAcentral is "partial 16S ribosomal RNA". It matches the Rfam family "Bacterial small subunit ribosomal RNA", at positions 338 to 795 of the family's 1533-position model. The record is from RNAcentral.
CCUACGGGCGGCAGCAGUGGGGAAUAUUGCACAAUGGGGGAAACCCUGAUGCAGCGACGCCGCGUGGGUGACGACGUAUUUCGGUAUGUAAAGCCCUAUCAGCAGGGAAGAAGCUGACGGUACCUCUUGAAUAAGCCACGGCUAACUACGUGCCAGCAGCCGCGGUACUCCGUAGGUGGCAAGCGUUGUCCGGAUUUACUGGGUGUAAAGGGCGUGUAGCCGGGCUGACAAGUCAGAUGUGAAAUUCCGUGGUUCAACCCCGGACCUGCAUUUGAAACUGUUGGUCUUGAGUAUCGGAGAGGCAGGCGGAAGUCCUAGUGGAGCGGGGAAAUGCGUAGAUAUUAGGAGGAACACCAGUGGCGAAGGCGGCCUGCUGGACGACAACUGACGGUGAGGCGCGAAAGCGUGGGGAGCAAACAGGAUUAGAUACCCGGGUAGUC